Molecule: ribosomal RNA, 2029 nt
Filed under: Paraclostridium sordellii 8483
Lineage: Bacteria; Bacillati; Bacillota; Clostridia; Peptostreptococcales; Peptostreptococcaceae
Description: bacterial LSU rRNA
Rfam family: Bacterial large subunit ribosomal RNA
Source: RNAcentral
UGUGAUCCAGAGUACCACGGGACACGUGAAACCCUGUGGGAAGCAGGAGGGACCAUCCUCCAAGGCUAAAUACUACUUAGUGACCGAUAGCGCAUAGUACCGUGAGGGAAAGGUGAAAAGAACCCCGGGAGGGGAGUGAAAUAGAACCUGAAACCCUGUGCUUACAAGCUGUGGGAGCACUUUAUAUGUGUGACCGCGUACUUUUUGUAGAACGGGCCAACGAGUUACGACAGUAAGCAAGGUUAAGUACUUAAGGUAUGGAGCCGUAGUGAAAGCGAGUCUUAAAUGGGCGUUAAGUUUUCUGUCGUAGACCCGAAACCGGGCGACCUACCCAUGAGCAGGAUGAAGCGAAAGUAAAAUUUCGUGGAGGUCCGAACCCACGAGCGUUGAAAAGCUCGGGGAUGACUUGUGGGUAGCGGUGAAAUUCCAAUCGAGCCCGGAGAUAGCUGGUUCUCCCCGAAAUAGCUUUAGGGCUAGCCUCAAGGUUGAGAAAUACGGAGGUAGAGCACUGAAUAUCCUAGGGGGCAUUGCGCUUACCGAAGAUUAUCAAACUCCGAAUGCCGUUAUUUUAUACUUGGGAGUCAGACUGUGGGUAAUAAGAUUCAUAGUCGAGAGGGCAACAGCCCAGAUCGUCAGCUAAGGUCCCUAAAUGUAAGUUAAGUGGUAAAGGAUGUGGGAUUGCAUAGACAACCAGGAUGUUGGCUUAGAAGCAGCCACUCAUUUAAAGAGUGCGUAAUAGCUCACUGGUCGAGUGAUCCUGCGCCGAAGAUUACCGGGGCUAAAACUUACUACCGAAGCUACGAUAUCAUUUAUGAUAGGUAGGGGAGCUUCCUAUGCAGGCUGAAGCAUGACCGUAAGGACAUGUGGACAGUAUAGGAGUGAGAAUGUUGGCAUGAGUAGCGAGACGUGGGUGAGAAUCCCACGGGCCGUAAACCCAAGGUUUCCAGGGGAAGGUUCGUCCGCCCUGGGUUAGUCGGGACCUAAGCCGAGGCCGAAAGGCGUAGGUGAUGGACAACAGGUUGAGAUUCCUGUACCACCGAUAAUCGCUUGAGAGAAGGAAUGACACAGUAGGAUAAGCUAACCACACUGUUGGUUAUGUGUGGCUAAGUACUGAGGCAGUCAAGGUAGGCAAAUCCGCCUUGAUAAUGCUGGGGUACGAUGGGGAGCGAAAUUAAGUAGCGAAGUAGCUGAUUUCACACUGUCGAGAAAAGUUUCUAUCGAGAUUAAAGGUGCCCGUACCGCAAACCGACACAGGUGGGUGAGGAGAGUAUCCUAAGGCCAGCGAGAGAACUGUUGUUAAGGAACUCGGCAAAAUGACCCCGUAACUUAGGGAGAAGGGGUGCCACGUUAGGGUUAACGCCCGAGGUGGCCGCAGAGAAUAGGCCCAAGCGACUGUUUACCAAAAACACAGGUUUCUGCUAAGUCGCAAGACGAUGUAUAGGAGCUGACGCCUGCCCGGUGCUGGAAGGUUAAGGGGAUCUGUUAGGAUUUAUCCGAAGCAGUGAACUUAAGCCCCAGUAAACGGCGGCCGUAACUAUAACGGUCCUAAGGUAGCGAAAUUCCUUGUCGGGUAAGUUCCGACCCGCACGAAAGGCGUAACGAUUUGGGCACUGUCUCAACAACAGACUCGGUGAAAUUGUAAUCCCGGUGAAGAUGCCGGGUACCUGCGACAGGACGGAAAGACCCCAUGGAGCUUUACUGUAGCUUGACAUUGAAUUUUGGUGCUACAUGUACAGGAUAGGUGGGAGGCUAUGAAGUCGGGACGCCAGUCUCGGCGGAGCCAUCCUUGGGAUACCACCCUUGUAGUACUGAGAUUCUAACCAGAUACCUUGAAUCAGGUAUUGGGACACUGUCAGGUGGGCAGUUUGACUGGGGCGGUCGCCUCCCAAAGAGUAACGGAGGCGCUCAAAGGUUCUCUCAGCACGGUCGGAAAUCGUGCGUAGAGUGUAAAGGCAGAAGAGAGCUUGAUUGCAAGACAUACAGGUCGAGCAAGGACGAAAGUCGGACUUAGUGAUCCGGUGGUUCCGCA